Molecule: ribosomal RNA, 433 nt
Filed under: uncultured bacterium
Lineage: Bacteria
Description: partial 16S ribosomal RNA
Rfam family: Bacterial small subunit ribosomal RNA
Source: RNAcentral
AACGAACGCUGGCGGCAUGCCUAACACAUGCAAGUCGAACGAGACCUUCGGGUCUAGUGGCGCACGGGUGCGUAACGCGUGGGAACCUGCCCUUAGGUUCGGAAUAACUCCCCGAAAGGGGUGCUAAUACCGGAUAAUGUCUUCGGACCAAAGAUUUAUCGCCUUUGGAUGGGCCCGCGUUGGAUUAGCUAGUUGGUAGGGUAAAAGCCUACCAAGGCGACGAUCCAUAGCUGGUCUGAGAGGAUGAUCAGCCACACUGGGACUGAGACACGGCCCAGACUCCUACGAGAGGCAGCAGUGGGGAAUAUUAGACAAUGGGCGAGAGCCUGAUCCAGCAAUGCCGCGUGAGUGAUGAAGGCCUUAGGGUUGUAAAGCUCUUUUGCCCGGGAUGAUAAUGACAGUACCGGGAGAAUAAGCUCCGGCUAACUCCGUG